UAUACAAUUUUUGGAAAGUUGACAACACAUCAUUAAAAGCGAAUUGUCAAUUUGCUCAUCGCCGCAGUCGUCGUCGUCGUCAACGGACGUAGAAAGAAGACAGAAAGCUUUCUCAAUGCAAAAUUUUCUGAACUGUUAUUUUGUGUUUGUGUCGACGGAAAAUAUUGAGGAAAAUUGAUUUUUUUUGCCAAAAAUUUAGAAAGUUUCAAUCAUGGAGAAUGCAGAGCUGUACGAAAUUCUUGGAGUGAAUAAAAAUUCAACAGAUGCGGAAAUAAAAAAGAAUUAUCGAAAAUUAGCAAAAGAAUUUCAUCCGGACAAGAAUCCAGAAGCUGGUGAUAAAUUUAAAGAAAUAUCAUUUGCAUAUGAGAUACUUUCAGAUCCAGAUAAACGUAAGAUCUAUGAUCGUUAUGGACUGAAAGGACUACAAGAGGGCAGUGAUGGUUUCGGCGAUGCCUCAGAAUUCUUUUCACAUUGGUUUCCAUUCAGUGGCGGACACAGUAGUCAUAGUUGUGGUGGUGGUGGCAGUGGUGCCAAUAGUCGGGCGCGUGCAGCAGCACAAGUAGUUAUUAAACUCGAAGUUACGCUCGAAGAAUUGUAUAAUGGCAAUGUCUCAAAGUCUGUUGAUUACAAACGUACUUCCUACUGUGCGGCAUGUGAAGGUGAGGGUGGCCCUAAAACGAAUGUGGAUCAAUGUAAAGCGUGCAACGGCACUGGCCGUACUGCGAACUACUCAUUUAUGGGUGCCUUUGUAAACGCAUUUGAGUCUACCUGUCCGUCCUGUUAUGGACGUGGUACUACCAUACCAGAGGAAUUCCGCUGCACCACUUGUACCGGCAGUGGUUUGGUGGAAGAAGAGGUGAAACAAGAAGUGCCUAUAGAGAAAGGUGCACCCAAUAUGUUGAAAGUACUAUUCCAAGCAGCGGGCAAUCAGCCAUUAGUAGGCGAACGUGGCGAUCUUAUAGUAGUUUUAGUGCAAGCCGAACAUCCAAUUUUCAUACGACGACAAAACGAUUUAUUCCUGCGCGAUAUACACAUAAAUGUAACGCAGGCAUUAUGUGGAUUUAUACAUUGCUUCCAACAUCUAGAUGGACGCACAAUAUGUAUCACAAAUAAAGCAGGCGACGUUAUUAAACAUGCUGAACUGCGUGUAGUCACCGGUGAGGGUAUGCCCUUGCGUAAUAAUCCCUUUGAACGUGGUGACUUAUUUGUGGAAUUCAACAUUGACUUUCCCGACGACAAUUUUGCUACCAUAGAACAAAUGCAAUUGCUUGAGACGCUCUUACCGCCACGCCAACCCUUCACAAUGCCCGAAGAUGCUGAAGAAGUGGUGAUGAUGGAAGUGCCACCCUACGGUGAAGGCAGUCAUGCUGGCGCACAAGGUGGCAUGGAUGAUGACGACGACGAUGGUACAACACCGCAUUUCGAUAGUGUACAGUGCCAGACGGGUUAAAGCGCACUGUGCGGCCGUAAAUCGUUAAGCGCAGCUAUAUAGGUGUAGAUGCAGUUGAAAAUAUUGUGACGACAGAAAAGGCAAAAAUUUUUGGUGCGAAUACGAAAUUUUGUGCAUGCAGUAUGCAGUGCACAAGGAAAACGAAGGAAAUAAAGCAAACAAAACUAACCAAAUGAUACACAUAAAUGAUAAUUGAUAAUAAGCGCGUAAAUGUAAUGUGUAUUGCAUACGUAUGUACGUAGUGUGCUACGUUCAGUUGAUUUCACUUAUAAUUUCACACUCUAUUUUUUUGUGUUACAUUGUAUGUAUGCACGUUUUGGACUUUACAUAUUUUUGAAGCAUUCGAUUUUAACGUUGUAACCCCUUUUGUUUCACUUACACACUUUUUCAUUUACUUAAUGAAAUAAUAUAACGCGAUGUAUGUUUAAACCAAUCGAUUGGCGAGCGAAAUGUUAUAUUUUAAUUCGGCAGCGUGUUGUGUACAAUGCUAAGCAAAUUCUAAUUUGUUGACCAAGACUAAAUAUCUUUAAAUUAAUAAAUAUUAUUAAAAUAAAUACGAAAAAUGUUAACAUUCCGCAAGGAUUAAAUGGAAUGUAAAUCACUUGGGACAUUUAUUGAGUGAAGAAUUUAUGCUUUUCUGGAAAUUAAGCAUAAACGAGGCGUUGAAGAAGGUGAUGAUGUUUGCAGAUACAUAUUUCUCAAGCGAAACAACUAAAUUUUAUUUUUCAUACUUAACUUUUCAACUCCAGCUGUUCGUGUUUGCAAGAAAAUACGAUUUACCAUAAUAUUUUCGGAAAAUAACCAACAGUAGUUGUACGAGUUUUUGGAUAUAACAGUAAUAAUAAUUUUACACAUUCAAAUUACAAUCAACAAUCUAUUUGAAACAACAAUCAAAAAACACUAACAACAUAUACACAAAAGUGGAUUUAGGAGUGAGGGUGUGGGUGCAAGUGUUAAAUAUUAAUAUCAUUCUAUCCAAAAAAAAUCUACAAAAAUCAUACGAUUUUGAAUAUCCACAAAUUUGGGUAUUAGGCGAUUUUGGUUACGCGCUUAAGCCGCUAAAUCGACAAAAUGCGUCAUUAAGUGCUGCACAUAAAAUUCACAAAACUCUCGUGGAGUAACACAAUCAAGUAUAAAAUGAAAAAUACAAAAAUAUGGAAAAAGGUUUAAAGCGUACAAAAUGCCUUCGUUAAUUUAUUGAAGCUAUCAAAAAAGUGAAGCUGCCUUUUGCUAAUGAAGUUGACAUUAAUGACAAACGACGAGCCAAAUGCAGCAUUAGGCCACACCAAAUUGCUAACGGUGUAGGCGCAACGCUGAAAGCAUCGCACAGUAGCAAUAGCUGCCGGCGGCGUUAAACGCUUUGAUGACAACAAAAGAUACAACGCCAACAAAAAGAGAACGUUCUAAACGUCAAAGCGCAGAGCCAAACACACACACAUACAUACAAACUAAUGAUGUUUCUAUGCGAAAGAUGGAGAAUGUCGAAAUGUAAUCGAACAAUGCAAUAUACAUACAGUAGUGAGUGGCAAGCAAAUUUGCAAUUUUUAUGAUGAGUUCUUGGGAUUUUUCCAACACCCAACAAAAAUUUGACGCAGCAAUAAAGCUCGCGAAGAUACCACAUUUCCUUCCUACUGUUCUCUCUAAAAUCAAAAUUGUCCCAUGGAGCUUGUAUUUCGAUGUCAUUUUGAGUGCAAUCAGUAUUUCGUGUGUUCGUUCCGUGAGUUUCGUAAGUGUUCGGGUUUUCGUUCGAAAAGA
RNA transcript from Zeugodacus cucurbitae (melon fly), 3205 nucleotides. It is a transcript of the gene named dnaJ homolog subfamily A member 4, with no coding region annotated. The record is from RefSeq and is a predicted model, not a curated record. The transcript has 7 exons. NCBI's taxonomy places the organism in Eukaryota, Metazoa, Arthropoda, Insecta, Diptera, Tephritidae.